Molecule: ribosomal RNA, 495 nt
Filed under: uncultured bacterium
Lineage: Bacteria
Description: partial 16S ribosomal RNA
Rfam family: Bacterial small subunit ribosomal RNA
Source: RNAcentral
GACGAACGCUGGCGGCGUGCCUAAUACAUGCGAGUAGAACGCUGAAGGGGGAGCUUGCUUCUCUGGAUGAGUUGCGAACGGGUGAGUAACGCGUAGGUAACCUGCCUGGUAGCGGGGGAUAACUAUUGGAAACGAUAGCUAAUACCGCAUAAUAGUAGAUGUUGCAUGACAUUUGCUUAAAAGGUGCAAUUGCAUCACUACCAGAUGGACCUGCGUUGUAUUAGCUAGUUGGUGGGGUAACGGCUCACCAAGGCGACGAUACAUAGCCGACCUGAGAGGGUGAUCGGACACACUGGGACUGAGACACGGCCCAGCCUCCUACGGGAGGCAGCAGUAGGGAAUCUUCGGCAAUGGACGGAAGUCUGACCGAGCAACGCCGCGUGAGUGAAGAAGGUUUUCGGAUCGUAAAGCUCUGUUGUAAGAGAAGAACGAGUGUGAGAGUGGAAAGUUCACACUGUGACGGUAUCUUACCAGAAAGGGACGGCUAACUACGUG